RNAcentral lists this long non-coding RNA (325 nucleotides) under Brachypodium distachyon (stiff brome). RNAcentral's name for it is "long non-coding RNA (BDIS_LNC002097)". The record is from RNAcentral. Lineage: Eukaryota; Viridiplantae; Streptophyta; Magnoliopsida; Poales; Poaceae.
GAAAGGUCGAACCUUUUGAAUUUUGAAAUGUGCUCCCUCUGUUUCAGAUUAUAAGACGUCUUCGCAAGCUAAAAAUAGCCUGCCAAAACGUCUUAUAAUAUGGAACAGACUCUGUAGUUUAAUUCUUCUUCCUGUAUAGUAACCUCUUUAGUGUCCAAUGGUUGAUGAAACAUCUGUGGUGAAUUUACAGAGCUGAAACUUUAAUUCUUCUUCCUGUAUAGUAACCUCUUUAGUGUCCAAUGGUUGAUGAAACAUCUGUGGUGAAUUUACAGAGCUGAAACAUCUCUGUCUGAGAAGGAUCAGAAAGAGAGGGUUCAAAGGAGCG